Molecule: long non-coding RNA, 359 nt
Filed under: Lactuca sativa (garden lettuce)
Lineage: Eukaryota; Viridiplantae; Streptophyta; Magnoliopsida; Asterales; Asteraceae
Description: long non-coding RNA (LSAT_LNC003822)
Source: RNAcentral
UGGUGAUGAAAUAGAAUACCCAGAACUUAUACAAGCCAACAGAAACACACAAUUUCUUAAGUAGUAAAAGUACCGUUAAAAUAUUUAUAAUACUAUAUCUGAUAAUGAGGGAUGAUUUCUUGUUGAAUGAAGAGAUGAAAGAUGUAAUAUCCUUAAAAUUAAGAUUUUACACUAGUACAAAACGGACCUACGGUCAUUGUUUGUAAAAAAGGGUUGUCAUGGUUUUGGUUAUUUGCGUCACUAAAAAUUAUUAAUCAAAUUACAGUAUUGUUUUAGCAACAUGNAAAUUAUUAACAAAUUACAGUAUUGUUUUAGCAACAUGUUAGCUAAAAUCAGUCACCAUUGCAAACUAUUUUCAC